RNAcentral lists this ribosomal RNA (253 nucleotides) under uncultured bacterium. Its description in RNAcentral is "partial 16S ribosomal RNA". It matches the Rfam family "Bacterial small subunit ribosomal RNA", at positions 524 to 776 of the family's 1533-position model. The record is from RNAcentral.
UACGGGGGGGGCAAGCGUUGUUCGGAAUUACUGGGCGUAAAGGGCUCGUAGGCGGCCAACUAAGUCGGAUGUGAAAUCCCCAGGCUCAACUUGGGAACUGCAUCCGAUACUGGAUGGCUUGAAUUCGGGAGAGGGAUGCAGAAUUCCAGGUGUAGCGGUGAAAUGCGUAGAUAUCUGGAGGAACACCGGUGGCGAAGGCGGCAUCCUGGACCGACAUUGACGCUGAGGAGCGAAAGCUAGGGGAGCAAACGGG